GACGUAGGGCGCGAGCGUUGUCCGGAUUUAUUGGGCGUAAAGAGCUCGUAGGCGGCUUGUCGCGUCGUUCGUGAAAACCUGGGGCUCAACCCCAGGCUUGCGGGCGAUACGGGCAGGCUAGAGUUCGGUAGGGGAGACUGGAAUUCCUGGUGUAGCGGUGAAAUGCGCAGAUAUCAGGAGGAACACCGGUGGCGAAGGCGGAUCUCUGGGCCAUUACUGACGCUGAGGAGCGAAAGCGUGGGGAGCGAACAGG
This 253-nucleotide ribosomal RNA is filed under the name uncultured bacterium. Its description in RNAcentral is "partial 16S ribosomal RNA". It matches the Rfam family "Bacterial small subunit ribosomal RNA", at positions 524 to 776 of the family's 1533-position model. The record is from RNAcentral.